GUUCUGACGAGUCCCAAAUAGGACGAAAUGCGCAUCCUGGAU
Molecule: non-coding RNA, 42 nt
Filed under: Trichobilharzia regenti
Lineage: Eukaryota; Metazoa; Platyhelminthes; Trematoda; Strigeidida; Schistosomatidae
Source: RNAcentral